RNAcentral lists this ribosomal RNA (497 nucleotides) under uncultured bacterium. Its description in RNAcentral is "partial 16S ribosomal RNA". It matches the Rfam family "Bacterial small subunit ribosomal RNA", at positions 28 to 507 of the family's 1533-position model. The record is from RNAcentral.
GAUGAACGCUGGCGGCGUGCCUAAUACAUGCAAGUCGAGCGAACAGAUGAGGAGCUUGCUCCUCUGACGUUAGCGGCGGACGGGUGAGUAACACGUGGAUAACCUACCCAUAAGACUGGGAUAACUUCGGGAAACCGGAGCUAAUACCGGAUAAUAUAUUGAACCGCAUGGUUCAAUAGUGAAAGACGGUUUUGCUGUCACUUAUAGAUGGAUCCGCGCCGCAUUAGCUAGUUGGUAAGGUAACGGCUUACCAAGGCAACGAUGCGUAGCCGACCUGAGAGGGUGAUCGGCCACACCGGAACUGAGACACGGUCCAGACUCCUACGGGAGGCAGCAGUAGGGAAUCUUCCGCAAUGGGCGAAAGCCUGACGGAGCAACGCCGCGUGAGUGAUGAAGGUCUUCGGAUCGUAAAACUCUGUUAUUAGGGAAGAACAAAUGUGUAAGUAACUAUGCACGUCUUGACGGUACCUAAUCAGAAAGCCACGGCUAACUACGUG